RNAcentral lists this ribosomal RNA (457 nucleotides) under uncultured bacterium. RNAcentral's name for it is "bacterial SSU rRNA". It matches the Rfam family "Bacterial small subunit ribosomal RNA", at positions 343 to 791 of the family's 1533-position model. The record is from RNAcentral.
AGGAGGCAGCAGUGGGGAAUUUUGCGCAAUGGGGGAAACCCUGACGCAGCAACGCCGCGUGAGUGAUGAAGGCCUUCGGGUCGUAAAGCUCUUUUAGUGGGGAAGAAGCCCACCCGGGCUAAUAUCCCGGGUGUCUGACGGUACCCACAGAAAAAGUUCCGGCUAACUACGUGCCAGCAGCCGCGGUAAUACGUAGGGAGCAAGCGUUGUUCGGAAUUAUUGGGCGUAAAGAGCGCGUAGGCGGUUCGGUAAGUCUGACGUGAAAUCCCGGAGCUUAACUCCGGAACUGCGUUGGAUACUGCCGAGCUUGAGUGUGGGAGAGGAGAGUGGAAUUCCCAGUGUAGAGGUGAAAUUCGUAGAUAUUGGGAGGAACACCCGUGGCGAAGGCGGCUCUCUGGACCACAACUGACGCUGAGGCGCGAAAGCUAGGGUAGCAAACGGGAUUAGAUACCCUGGU